GCCAACAACCCCAAUUUUUUCUAUGGUUGACCUCGGAUCAGGUAGGAAUACCCG
This 54-nucleotide ribosomal RNA is filed under the name Coniochaetaceae sp. RNAcentral describes it as "partial 28S ribosomal RNA". Lineage: Eukaryota; Fungi; Ascomycota; Sordariomycetes; Coniochaetales; Coniochaetaceae. The record is from RNAcentral.